This 255-nucleotide ribosomal RNA is filed under the name Francisella tularensis subsp. holarctica. Its description in RNAcentral is "partial 23S ribosomal RNA". It matches the Rfam family "Bacterial large subunit ribosomal RNA", at positions 2122 to 2383 of the family's 2925-position model. Lineage: Bacteria; Pseudomonadati; Pseudomonadota; Gammaproteobacteria; Thiotrichales; Francisellaceae. The record is from RNAcentral.
CUUUGAAUAUUUAUGUGUAGGAUAGGUGGCAGACCAUGAAGCAGCUACGCCAGUAGUUGUGGAGUCGUCCUUGAAAUACCACCCUUGAAUAUUUGAAUUUCUAACUCAGGAGAGAUUCGAGGACAGUGUAUGGUGGGUAGUUUGACUGGGGCGGUCUCCUACUAAAGAGUAACGGAGGAGUACGAAGGUGCACUCGGUUCGGUCGGAAAUCGUGCCAAGAGUAUAAAGGCAAAAGUGCGCUUGACUGCGAGAGUG